GUGGGGAAUAUUGGACAAUGGGCGCAAGCCUGAUCCAGCGACGCCGCGUGAGUGAUGAAGGCCUUCGGGUUGUAAAGCUCUGUUGAGGGAGAAGAAAACAGGCCGUUCGAACAGGUCGGUCUCUUGACGGUAUCCCUUUAGAAAGCACCGGCUAACUCUGUGCCAGCAGCCGCGGUAAGACAGAGGGUGCAAACGUUGCUCGGAAUUACUGGGCGUAAAGCGCGUGUAGGCGGGUCGGCAAGUCAGAUGUGAAAUCCCUGGGCUCAACCCAGGAACUGCAUUUGAAACUGCCAGCCUAGAGUGGUGGAGAGGGAGGCGGAAUUCCUGGUGUAGAGGUGAAAUUCGUAGAUAUCAGGAGGAACAUCGGUGGCGAAGGCGGCCUCCUGGACACUUACUGACGCUGAGACGCGAAAGCGUGGGGAGCAAACAGGAUUAGAUACCCGAGUAGUCC
Molecule: ribosomal RNA, 451 nt
Filed under: uncultured bacterium
Lineage: Bacteria
Description: bacterial SSU rRNA
Rfam family: Bacterial small subunit ribosomal RNA
Source: RNAcentral